ACCCACUAGGUGAUGCAAACUCUUUUCCUUUAAUCGACCAAAUUUCACAUGAAACUGGUAAGGGUGGAUUUCCCCCCCUCUUCCUUUAUUACAGAGCAAACGGCCAUUUCCAACCCAAGCAAAAUCAUAUGGCAAAACAAAAACCAACCCCAAGACAAAACAACCACAUGUUCUCUGGGUCACUGAAGUUUUAACGCAUUUUCCGACGCAAUUUACCUAAAGGUAAAUAAUAUCAAGAAUGUUUGUCAUGCCAUCGUUCAAAGUGUUUCUUGUAUUCCUCAAAAUGAUAUUUAAAAAGGAGGGGGGGGGGAAAUAGCUGAAAAAAAUCAUUCUGGGUUUUCUUCUCUCUACUCUUAAACUAUUAUAGGAUGAAGAAUAGCAGGGAAUAUAAAAGAUACUGCAUGGAUGGAGAAACAACCUGAAUAAAGAAAUGGUCAGCCUCUGGGGAAAGUUUUAUUGGCUGGGAGAGACCCUGAAUGGUAGAGAGGUUUUCAAUAACACCGACUCAAUUUGCCUCUUACCAUGCCUGGUUUCCUUCAGUUCAGAACUCAUCUUCUGCAGAACAUCUCUGUGCCAGCCCUCCCAUACCCCACUGCGAGAGUUUCCCCAGGAGACAACCCACAUGGACUGCUUCUGUCUUGUAUGUGAACAGUUAUUUGUAUAUUAUCUCUCCCAUUAGAAUUGAAGCUCAUUGAACAGGGGUCUUCUUUUUCUUUUAUUGUUUUUCUUUUACUUAUUUAUUCAUUCAUUUAUUCAAUUGUUUAUUUAUUUACUAUUGAUUCUAUCUACUGCAACAUAUAGCCGGGUCUUUUAUUUAAAUGGGGCUUCCCAAAAGUCUUGAUGCAACACUAAGUAUUAAUUUCCAUUGAUCUAAAACCCUUCCCUGUAAUAAAGAAAUAUGGUUAAGAGAAAGUAUAUCAUUAGCCACAACAGACAAUAUGACAACAUAUGUCUCAUUCUGUACCUGUAGUCCCUCACCUUUCCCCCCAGAAGAGAGAAUCUUGGUUCAGUAAAUAUUUUGAAGUUAAUAUUGGUCACUGCACUAAUCAGAUUUUGGAGGAGUGGGAUACUUUCCUUCCAUGUUUUUUGAUCUACCUGGAAUUAACUUCAAGUAGAAAGAUCUCUUUCAUCCUCCAGCAAAAUCUAGUGUGAUGAUGGCCCCUUUAAAUUAACCGGCCCUGUUCAACUAGAACUUGCUGGCUGUCCCAGAAAGGGCAAGCAGUCCUUUUUAGUAACACAGGGAGGUUUUACAACAGUGAGUCACUAUUACCUGCAAAGCCAGACAUGUCUUUUUGCUUCUUGUGCCAAACCGGCAAGGUCCCAGUUGGUGAAGACGAGAAUUAGAGGGGUUAAAAAAAUGUCUAAUUUACAGAUCUAAUUAAACAUAAAAGCUUCCAAGGAAGAAAGUGCCCUUCUUUGAACGGCUCCAACUGGAUGGCUGAUCCAAUGGCCCACACAUACAUCAUGGAGCUCAUUUGUAAUGAUUUAUACAAAGCACCAAUUCGUCUCAGAUCGGAAAAGAGGCGUGAGGAAGACUGGCGUCAGUGCUGGUCCCGUGGGGUGUAUAGGCAGAACAGAUGACUUGGAGGAGAUGAUUGAAAUACCUGGAUUCUUCUGGGCUCCCUGGUUCAUAGCUCCGUAUGACGCAGUGGAAAUACCAGCUCAUCUCUAACUUCCCUAAGAUGAUAAUGAUCCAAACAGCACACUCUAGUUCCAGCCGGGGGUUACAUCUUAAGACAAUCCCUUCACCAACCCACCCUCUCCCUCCACCCCCAAAUAGUCCAAGCCAAGAAACCUGAUUCUUAUUUUCAUAAUGCUGCAGGCAUGCAUAGCUAAUAGCAGCUCCUCUUCAGCUUAGCCAAGAGCCCACCAUUUUAGCUCCAAAAUUCAAUGUUGCCCCAGUCCUUUCUUGGUGAACCUGUUUCCCCAAAAGACAAAAAUAAAUAUAUUUUUAAAAUCUAGGAAAGGAUGAGUGAAUGGACAGAGAGAAAAGCAGCAUAAUCAUUUUAAUGCCUUAAAGAACUUUUAUAUGCAUAAUAAUAAGGAAUGAUGAUAUUUCUAUACUGCUUUCAAAUUUACAAAGAACUGUUUGAUUCUCACACUAAGCCUUGAUGGAGCGGGCAUUAAGGGCUGGGCUGAUCACCAUCACAUUUGGAACUGAGGCUUUGGGAGAUUGGGGAAUUGACCUCUGGGUCACAUAGCUACUAAAUGUCACAUUUAGAAUUUGAGCCCAAAUUUGUGAUAGAAUGUAAUCUAUUUGAGGGGAAGGACAAUUUUAUUUUGUCUCCCCUUCCCCCCCCCCAAAAAAAAUAAAAAAAUCUCAGACACAUAAGCAAACUUUUUAAAAUUAUAUUAUACAUCUGUUCCUGUAGUCUCCUCUUCCUUCCUCAAGAACAUAAACUCCCUGAGGAUAGGAACUAUUCAUCUUUUAUCUUUAUAUCUCUAAUAUCUAUCAUUGUACUUGGUGAAAGAAUGAAUGAAAAAGCAUUUAUUAAGCAUUUACUACUUACUAUAUACUGUGCUAAAAACUGGAUAUACAAAUGGAAAAGCAAAAACACCAUGCUCAGAGUUUCCCUACAAAAACAAUAAAUUGAGGGGAAUGCAGUAGUUUAGAUGGUUUAGUUUGGUAAAUUUGGGGGAUAGGGAUUGGAGCCUUAGGAAAGCAAAAAUAGAAUUAAUUUGAUCAUAGUCUUUCUAGAAAGGGCUUAAUAAAUGUUUGUUCAUCCAUAGGCUCUUAAUAAAUGCUUACUGAUUGAUUGAAUCUUAACUCCAAAUCACUCUGUUCACCAAAUAUCCAUUUUCUUCCUGAGCUUGAGGUGGAUUGGCUUAUGAAUCAUAGCAGUGUCUCUCCAGUACUUUUAGGCAUAAUUAUGUUUCAAGAUCAAUUUUCUCGAUUUUAAUGGAACACAUCCCAAUGUGACUCUUGACUAAAAUGAUACAGAGACAAUGUCCCUGCAUUGGGAGAGUGGGACUGGAGGGAGACAAUAAAGUGAUAGCUUUAUAGUAAAAAUGAAACAAAGUUGAGCUCAAACCCUGAGUGAAUAAAUCUCACCAAUGAACACCUGUGAAGUAUUCCCCUAGACCUAGGGAAAAAGAAGACAUUUGGACUUUAGGUGAGGAAGAUGUCAUUUUCUGAAAUAAUGUUUUUCAGUCUGAUGGAGGACUUUUCUUAGAUUAAGUUGCUGUCCAGUGGACCAGAACUGCUUUUAAUUUGGU
Molecule: long non-coding RNA, 3216 nt
Organism: Sarcophilus harrisii (Tasmanian devil)
Lineage: Eukaryota; Metazoa; Chordata; Mammalia; Dasyuromorphia; Dasyuridae
Source: Ensembl